This 252-nucleotide ribosomal RNA is filed under the name uncultured bacterium. RNAcentral's name for it is "partial 16S ribosomal RNA". It matches the Rfam family "Bacterial small subunit ribosomal RNA", at positions 524 to 776 of the family's 1533-position model. The record is from RNAcentral.
UACGUAGGGUGCGAGCGUUAAUCGGAAUUACUGGGCGUAAAGCGUGCGCAGGCGGUUGAUAAGUCAGAUGUGAAAUCCCCGGGCUCAACCUGGGAACUGCAUUUGUGACUGCAUCGCUGGAGUACGGCAGAGGGGGAUGGAAUUCCGCGUGUAGCAGUGAAAUGCGUAGAUAUCGGGAGGAACACCAGUGGCGAAGGCGACUACCGUGGCCUGUUCUUGACGCUGAGGCGCGAAAGCUAGGGAGCAAACGGG